RNAcentral lists this ribosomal RNA (518 nucleotides) under uncultured bacterium. RNAcentral describes it as "bacterial SSU rRNA". It matches the Rfam family "Bacterial small subunit ribosomal RNA", at positions 778 to 1296 of the family's 1533-position model. The record is from RNAcentral.
AUAGAUACCCGGUAGUCCACGCCGUAAACGAUGAAUGCCAGCCGUUGGGGUGCAUGCGACUUCAGUGGCGCAGCUAACGCUUUAAGCAUUCCGCCUGGGGAGUACGGUCGCAAGAUUAAAACUCAAAGGAAUUGACGGGAGCCCGCACAAGCGGUGGAGCAUGUGGUUUAAUUCGAAGCAACGCGCAGAACCUUACCAGCUUUUGACAUGUCCGGUUUGAUUGGCAGAGAUGCCUUUCUUCAGUUCGGCUGGCCGGAACACAGGUGCUGCAUGGUUGUCGUCAGCUCGUGUCGUGAGAUGUUGGGUUAAGUCCCGCAACGAGCGCAACCCUCGCCCCUAGUUGCCAUCAUUCAGUUGGGAACUCUAGGGGACUGCCGGUGAUAAGCCGCGAGGAAGGUGGGGAUGACGUCAAGUCCUCAUGGCCCUUACAGGCUGGGCUACACACGUGCUACAAUGGCGUGACAAUGGGCAGCGAAGGGGUGACCCGGAGCUAAUCUCAAAAAGCCGUCUCAGUUCGG